AUGGUGGUUGAUGCCCUUGCGGCCAUUCUUGACAAGGCCAAAUCGGCCGGUCACAUUCACGGCGUGGUCCACACCGUAGGAGGGGGUGGGGUCUCCCUCCUCCAAUAUGCCGAUGACACCAUAAUAAUGGUUGAGGGCUCCGCGUCCGAUAUUGCCAAUCUGAAGUUUCUCCUCCUAUGCUUCCAACAGAUGUCCGGUCUUACCAUCAACUUCGAUAAGAGCGAAGUGAUGGUUCUGGGAUCCCCCCCGGAGGAGGCCCAGGGCAUUGCGGAACGGCUUAACUGCCGCCUGGGUUCUUUCCCCAUGACUUAUCUGGGGAUCCCCAUUAGUGACUCGCGCGUCACCGUAGCGGACCUUCGCCCUUCCGUAACCCGAAUGCAACACCGGGUCGAGCCCUGGAAGGGUCGAUGGCUCUCGAAGGCGGCGAGGGUAAUCCUCAUCAACUCCUCGUUGGCUAGCCUCCUAUGGUUCCUCAUGAGCUUCUAUAGCCUCCAUGAGACGCUUCACCAGGAGGUGGCCAAAUACCAGUCCAGGUUCUUCUGGGCUGGCGAGGGGGACAAGCAAAAAUACCAUAUGGCGAGGGGGACAAGCGAUGUGAACUAG
RNAcentral lists this ribosomal RNA (603 nucleotides) under Triticum aestivum (bread wheat). RNAcentral describes it as "partial small subunit ribosomal RNA". The record is from RNAcentral. Lineage: Eukaryota; Viridiplantae; Streptophyta; Magnoliopsida; Poales; Poaceae.